This 504-nucleotide ribosomal RNA is filed under the name uncultured fungus. RNAcentral describes it as "SSU rRNA". It matches the Rfam family "Eukaryotic small subunit ribosomal RNA", at positions 569 to 1078 of the family's 1831-position model. The record is from RNAcentral. Lineage: Eukaryota; Fungi.
AGCAGCCGCGGUAAUUCCAGCUCCAAUAGCGUAUAUUAAAGUUGUUGCCGUUAAAAAGCUCGUAGUUGAACCUUGGACCUGGCUGAUCUGUCCUCCUAAUCGAGCGCACGGAUUCGGUCGGGUCUUUCCUUCUGGGGAGCCCUAUGCCCUUCACUGGGUGUAGUGGGGAACCAGGACUUUUACCUUGAAAAAAUUAGAGUGUUCAAAGCAGGCCUUUGCUCGAAUACAUUAGCAUGGAAUAAUAGAAUAGGACAUCGGUUCUAUUUUGUUGGUUUCUAGGACCGCUGUAAUGAUUAAUAGGGAUAGUCGGGGGCGUCAGUAUUCAAUUGUCAGAGGUGAAAUUCUUGGAUUUAUUGAAGACUAACUACUGCGAAAGCAUUCGCCAAGGAUGUUUUCAUUAAUCAGUGAACGAAAGUUAGGGGAUCGAAGACGAUCAGAUACCGUCGUAGUCUUAACCAUAAACUAUGCCGACUAGGGAUCGGACGGUGGUUUUUUUAUACCCCG